ACGGGUGAGUAAUGUCUGGGAAACUGCCUGAUGAGGGGGAUAACUACUGGAAACGGUAGCUAAUACCGCAUAACGUCGCAAGACCAAAGAGGGGGACCUUCGGGCCUCUUGCCACCGGAUGUGCCCAGAUGGGAUUAGCUAGUAGGUGGGGUAACGGCUCACCUAGGCGACGAUCCCUAGCUGGUCUGAGAGGAUGACCAGCCACACUGGAACUGAGACACGGUCCAGACUCCUACGGGAGGCAGCAUG
RNAcentral lists this ribosomal RNA (249 nucleotides) under uncultured bacterium. RNAcentral's name for it is "partial 16S ribosomal RNA". It matches the Rfam family "Bacterial small subunit ribosomal RNA", at positions 102 to 353 of the family's 1533-position model. The record is from RNAcentral.